This is a long non-coding RNA of Oncorhynchus keta (chum salmon), 189 nucleotides long. RefSeq lists it as uncharacterized. Lineage: Eukaryota; Metazoa; Chordata; Actinopteri; Salmoniformes; Salmonidae. The record is from RefSeq and is a predicted model, not a curated record. The transcript is spliced from 3 exons.
AUUCCCCUAACAGGUUAUUCCCCCUAACAGGUUAUUCCCCUAACAGGUUAUUCCCCUAACAGGUUAUUCCCCUAACAGGUUAUUCCCCCUAACAGGUUAUUCCCCCUAACAGGUUAUUCCCCCUAACAGGUUAUUCCCCUAACAGGUUAUUCCCCUAACAGGUUAUUCUACUAACAGGUUAUUCCCCUA